GACGAACGCUGGCGGCGUGCUUAACACAUGCAAGUCGAACGGAGAGGCCCUUCGGGGUCCUCGAGUGGCGAACGGGUGAGUAACACGUGGGUGAUCUGCCCUGCACUUUGGGAUAAGCCUGGGAAACUGGGUCUAAUACCGAAUAGGACCACGCGCUUCAUGGUGUGUGGUGGAAAGCUUUUGCGGUGUGGGAUGGGCCCGCGGCCUAUCAGCUUGUUGGUGGGGUAAUGGCCUACCAAGGCGACGACGGGUAGCCGGCCUGAGAGGGUGACCGGCCACACUGGGACUGAGAUACGGCCCAGACUCCUACGGGAGGCAGCAGUGGGGAAUAUUGCACAAUGGGCGCAAGCCUGAUGCAGCGACGCCGCGUGAGGGAUGACGGCCUUCGGGUUGUAAACCUCUUUCACCAGGGACGAAGCGUAAGUGACGGUACCUGGAGAAGAAGCACCGGCCAACUACGUG
RNAcentral lists this ribosomal RNA (462 nucleotides) under uncultured bacterium. Its description in RNAcentral is "partial 16S ribosomal RNA". It matches the Rfam family "Bacterial small subunit ribosomal RNA", at positions 28 to 507 of the family's 1533-position model. The record is from RNAcentral.